This 502-nucleotide long non-coding RNA is filed under the name Citrus x clementina. RNAcentral describes it as "Citrus clementina (C. clementina) long non-coding RNA (CCLE_LNC000567)". The record is from RNAcentral. Lineage: Eukaryota; Viridiplantae; Streptophyta; Magnoliopsida; Sapindales; Rutaceae.
AUGUGUGGCCCUUGUAAAUUUAUAUUUUUCCAUUAUGAUUCUCAUUGUUGGUCUAUUUUAUAUUAUAGUAGUAUACAUAAGUUUAUGGUUUCUGCAUUACAGUCAUGAGAAUCAAUUACGUAUCGUAACUAGUUAGGUGCUAUAUCAAGCGUACAACAAUCUGAUAAUUAUCUUGUCAUAAGCGUACAACUUAUAUGUAUAUUAUAAGUUGGUCACUUUAAAAAUUACAAUUGUCAUUUAUCAAGGGUUAUUACCUCCAAUGCAUAGAAGAUUGCUCACUAUUAUGAGGUAACUCAUGUUGAAAAUUAAAAAUGUCAAACAAGUGAAUAAUUAUCUUCACAUUGAACAAUUAUUUCCACGGAUUGGCUUUAGAACUUCCAACGAGUUUUUGUCAAAAUUAGGCCCAUAACAAUUAAAUUUUUGUCAAAAUUUGCCUACAAAUCGUAAAUGGCUACCGAGCUAUAGAAGUUGUUCUGGCGAAUCAGUACAUUUUUUAAUCUUC